Molecule: non-coding RNA, 73 nt
Organism: Lacerta agilis (Sand lizard)
Lineage: Eukaryota; Metazoa; Chordata; Lepidosauria; Squamata; Lacertidae
Source: the annotation of a RefSeq genome assembly
GAGAGACUAGCUCAGUUGGUAGAGCGUGAGAUUUUUAAUCUCAGGGUCGUGGGUUCAAAUCCCACAUGGGGCA